Molecule: long non-coding RNA, 298 nt
Organism: Centruroides sculpturatus (bark scorpion)
Lineage: Eukaryota; Metazoa; Arthropoda; Arachnida; Scorpiones; Buthidae
Exons: 4
Source: RefSeq, a predicted model, not a curated record
UAAGCUUGUCGAAUUGCACUGACCUUAUCCCAUCAGGAAAAUCUCAAGUGAAGAAAUUUUGUGAAGAAGAAAAUUGUCAGUCAUUUAAAAAAUAUAUUAUUUGUUACAAGAAUUCGUUAAAACAUAUUGUAAUUAAAGCAAAAACGAAGCAAGAGUCGAUGUUGAAAUUUGUGAAAUGUGUUAACAGCAACUUCAAAUAAAUAGAAAAUUCACCAUCCUGUUUGUUGAGAGUUUAAAUAUUGCAGACAAUUAUGUUUAAAUUAUAUAUAUUAUCAUUUAACUUACGAUAUUUGUCGUA